This is a long non-coding RNA of Galeopterus variegatus (Sunda flying lemur), 460 nucleotides long. RefSeq lists it as uncharacterized. The transcript has 2 exons. The record is from RefSeq and is a predicted model, not a curated record. NCBI's taxonomy places the organism in Eukaryota, Metazoa, Chordata, Mammalia, Dermoptera, Cynocephalidae.
UGGAUUCUCCCCUCAGAGCCUCCAGAAGAAACCAGCCCUGCAGACACCUUGACUUUGGCUUAUUGAGACUGAUUUUGGACAUCUGAUCUCCAGAACUACCCAGGCUUGCCAGCUGUAAAGGUAAAUUGUUUCCUACCUGCCACUGCAAGUAGAGUGAACCUGGGAGAUGAAGACAGUUGAGAACAUAAUCCCUCUCUGACAUUAAAUAAAGGAAGGCUCAGAGCAGUUGAGUCUCUUCUGUUUUCAACAAACAGCAUCGGUGGUACUUGCUAUUAUUUUAGAGUCUCAAAUUUGUAAGUCUAGCACACCAGAGAUUGCGCCUUCAUUGUAUUUCAUGAACUGUUAGGACAAUCUGCUUGAAAAAGAUUUCUAUCAACCAUUGGCUUUUUUCUUCCAUUGGAUAAGUAUUUUAUUUCCAGAAAGAUUAUGAGCCACAAGACAUUAAAGUCUAAAUGAAGAA